GUUUUUCUUCCUCUUUCCCACUCUCCCAACCUGGGCAGUGUUGUUUGGAGCUGGGAGCAGCCGCAAAUACUCACACGCUCGGAACUUUUCUCUUGGAAAGCCGCAGUGGCAUUCAAUCAUAGGGAAUUCGGCAUCAUGAACUCUUUUGCAGUUAGAUUAUGUGCAGGACGAGUGAUGACUUCCAAUUUGCACCUCUGAUAGGAGUCGCCGAGUGCCCUGAUUCUGAGUCGACCUGUGCUGUCUUCAGUGGCCUGGGCUGAACAUGGACUUGUCCAACCAUCGUUCAGUCUUGACGUCUCCGACCAGGGACUGGUGCAAUCUGAGUGCCUGGCACCAUCUUAAGGGAACAUAAAAAUUGGACUUGGCCUGUUGCCAGCUUCCUUCCUGUUCUGGAACACGCGUGGAACGUCUGGGAGAACACUGCACUCAUUCCCAUGGUCCUGGAUAUUCCGAGGCACCUGGUCCAUCAGAACCCGACUCCGUGCUUACAACUGUUUUUACAGGGAGCCUGAGGAGCUCACCACAGCCACGAAUGUGCUUUAAUGUCUUUGUAUUGGAGGCAUUAUACGGAAUUAUGGCUCAACAUUUAAAAGCUCACACCACAAGAUAACUCGGUUCAUGUCUGAACGGAGAUUGCAGAUUUCCAAGCCUCCCCAGCGGCUGUAUCUUCCAAUUCUCUUCCAGAGACAUUGUAUAGAGAUCUCUGGGGUUGGAGCCCGAAAGGAAAGUGGGGAACCAGAAGAUGGGGAGCGAGGAAGGACAGACAGAGACAAGGCAGAGACACAGAGGAGAGUUUAUUGGUCAGAGCUGAGAG
RNAcentral lists this long non-coding RNA (814 nucleotides) under Marmota monax (woodchuck). Lineage: Eukaryota; Metazoa; Chordata; Mammalia; Rodentia; Sciuridae. The record is from RNAcentral.